UUUUGGAUCAGUUGUCGGUGUUUUGUAGGGCUAGUAAGCCCACGUGGAGGUCGCGGUGUUCGUUGAUACAUAUGGAUAUCGUUGAGGAUCACGGGACAGACCGCGUCUUACGACAGUUCGGCCACGUAUAAAAUAUACCUAAGCAGGCUAUUUGGGAGCACGACCAUUAUAUCCGGGACGAGCGUGCGGCCGUCACUGAUGCAUGGCGGGUCUUUAUGCAACUCCAGGUCCACCGUUGGGAUCAGAGAGUGGGGAUGCUAGUGGUGGUCGGACAUGGGACUCUAAUCCAGAGGUACAUGGAGUGGUACACGUGAAUCACUCGCAACUUGAUUGGCAACCCCGCGAGGCCUCGUGCAGAUGGCCGAGGAUAUGCAGCACUCGCAGGACAGUAUGAGGCGUUGCUACGGACCGUACAGAGGAUGCGUUAGGAGAGCUUGGGCCAUAUGGAUGCCCCUGAGACAGCGGGAUAUGCAGCGCGGAUGGUUCAGCUACCCGAGGAUGGUAUGCUAUAGGCCCAGGAGCUUAGACGUCUCGACGAGCGUGUUCCAGAGGUCCCGCAUCAGGCAGCGGAUGGUCGUGGUCGUGGUCAUGCCAGAGGGGCUGGUGGCCGAGAGGGUAGGGGCAGAAGGGCUAGUGGCCGAGGUGGUAGGGCCAUAGGAGUUGGUCACAGAGGAGGUGGGGACAGAGGGGGUGGUGGUCUAGUAGAUGAGCCUGACGAGCAUGCUCCAGUCCACUAGCCUCCGUUGACUUCAGAGAUAUCGUCGACUUUUUACCUGCCGUCGACUUUAUAGCAUCCGUCGACACCUGUAUAUACGCCGGAUUUAUUUUCAGAUCACAUGUUCUGGCCAUCGCCUGCACAGCCACCGGGUCAUCAUCCACAGGGUGAGCUUUGAGCUCGUGAUCUACAGGGUGGCACGGAGCUUGACUUCGAUUACUUAUUCGAGGACUUUGACCUGUCUCCGACUCUGGGCCCCCACUUAGGAGACAGCUGAGGAGCCAACUCAGGAGCCCUCUCACCAGCCAUCUCAGAAGCUUGUCGACACAUAGGUUCAUUCUUCUGCGCCUGUGGACCCGUCUACUGCUCCGGUACCAUCUACAUCUCCGGCUUUGGGACCCGCUCAGGAAACUACUAAGCAGCCAGCUCAUGAGCCCUCUAAGGAGCCCUCUCGCCAGCCAUCUCAGGAGCCCGUCGACACACAGGUUCAUUCUUCUGCGCCUGUGGACUCGUCUCCUAUUGAGAUUGAGUUAUCUCCUGAAGCUCACAUUUCGGCCACCGUCGUCUUCCAUAGGAAGCAUAUUUUUAACAAGCCCCCAAGGAAGGAAGGAAGGGUGAUCAUGCCAUAGAGCAUGUACGGAUUAAGAGGAA
Long non-coding RNA from Lycium barbarum (goji berry), 1366 nucleotides. RefSeq lists it as uncharacterized. The transcript is spliced from 4 exons. NCBI's taxonomy places the organism in Eukaryota, Viridiplantae, Streptophyta, Magnoliopsida, Solanales, Solanaceae. The record is from RefSeq and is a predicted model, not a curated record.